AUUCCGUGAGUCAUCGAAUCUUUGAACGCACAUUGCCGGUCGACUCUUCGGAGGAGACCACAUCUGCCUCAGCGUCG
This 77-nucleotide ribosomal RNA is filed under the name Ulva linza. RNAcentral describes it as "partial 5.8S ribosomal RNA". It matches the Rfam family "5.8S ribosomal RNA", at positions 79 to 154 of the family's 154-position model. From Rfam's summary of the family: 5.8S ribosomal RNA (5.8S rRNA) is a component of the large subunit of the eukaryotic ribosome. It is transcribed by RNA polymerase I as part of the 45S precursor that also contains 18S and 28S rRNA. Lineage: Eukaryota; Viridiplantae; Chlorophyta; Ulvophyceae; Ulvales; Ulvaceae. The record is from RNAcentral.